UGGGGCAUAUGAUGCUAAUCAUCUUAUCCUACACACUGAAUUGUGAUGUGGACUCAUACUCCGCUUAUUAUCUGAUGCCCUU
Molecule: small nucleolar RNA, 82 nt
Organism: Nymphaea colorata (pocket water lily)
Lineage: Eukaryota; Viridiplantae; Streptophyta; Magnoliopsida; Nymphaeales; Nymphaeaceae
Product: small nucleolar RNA R16
Exons: 1
Source: RefSeq, a predicted model, not a curated record